AAAGAAUGGAGGCAUGGACUCUGGCUCCAAAUUCUUCCCCUCAUUCUCCCCUCAGCAACCCCCACUGCCAUUGACUUCUUUCUUUUUCAUUUUGUUCUGUUUUUGUUUAGGAAGAAAACGAAGAACAGAGGGAGGGAGACGAAGAACAGAGAGGGGGAGAUAGAGAGAGUUGGGGGAAGAAAAAGAGGAAAACGAGAGCCUGCCAUUGACGACCUUCUCGAGCUUCGUCAAGCUCAUCGGAGCUUCUCCUUUUCUAUCUCACGAGCUUCUAAUUGAUUCCCUAGCUUCUAGCCACUGCCGAUUUCAUGUUCCUCUUGCUUGUUCUUGCUGGUUUGGCUUCGUUCUCAUGUCGAGGAGUGAUCAGGUGAGAGAGAGACAGAGAGGGACAGUAAGAGAGAGAGAGAGAGAACAAAGGAAGAAACGAAGGAGGAGAAGGCUGGACUUCGGGAUCGGUUGAAGUAAAGGGCUGGUUAAUCUUAUCGGGGUAUAGAAAAGGGAAGGUGAUAUAAAAAGGAGCAGGUCAAGGGUGGAGAAACCGAAUAGAGAGAUGAACGAGGCAGAGAAGAUUGAGGGUAUAUUGAAAUAAGGAAAUCAGAGAACACUGCAAGGAAGACCUAACCUCGCGUUCUUGUCCCGUUAUUGACGGGUUUUGGGUAUGUAUUGCUGAUUAGAUUUCUCUUUUACUUAGCCCUAUUGUGUUAUAGCAAAUCAGGAAGUGGUAAUAUGCUUAGGUGCGGAGAUGAAGUUGCUUUAAUAGUUGAUUUUAGGAUCUCUCUGAGUUUUGUUAAGUGAUUUAGCUUCCCUUUGCUGCUAUAGCUUGGGUAAUGUUAGUUAUGUUAUUAAGUUGGAGGUUGUUGAUUGACGAUUUAAUUAAGCAUGAAAAUGCUUUAUUGGGC
Non-coding RNA from Punica granatum (pomegranate), 896 nucleotides. Lineage: Eukaryota; Viridiplantae; Streptophyta; Magnoliopsida; Myrtales; Lythraceae. The record is from RefSeq and is a predicted model, not a curated record.